UUUGAACUGAGGUCUCUUUAAAGGAGCCUGUCUGCUGUGAAAGGUUACAGUUGUUUUUCAGUAUCAUCUGGAGAUCAUCUAUUGUUUGUGACCAGUCACUGCUUGUUUUGGAUAUUCAGCAUUUGAAAUGGCUUCCGAAGGAUCUUUCCACAGCAGGAUCUACUUCCUCUGCCCUCACUGCAAGAAGGCUCCACGCUCUCUUCCUGGGCACCUCAGGACGGCGUGCAUGCGCGACCGCGCAGAGGCAGAGGUACGGGCCACUGUGAUUGAAGCCAAGAAAGAGAUGUCUGAAUUUACCCACAGGGGACGUUUCUGGGAGUACCAGCGUAUUCAAGACAUUUUGGCAACUGCUGAUCCUCUUGCCAGGUUGUUAGACGAGAUGCAAAAGAAGGGCUUAGUGGUAACAAACAAACCUCCAGUCCUCCCUAACCCCACACUGCCUGUGCCCUCUUUACCUUCAUCUGCUCCUCAAAGCCCUGGAGAAGGUGCGAACGAGCCACAUGUUGUGACGAACAUGACCCCAGAAACUGCUGAGAAGCAUUACAGUA
Ctenopharyngodon idella (grass carp) is the source of this 548-nucleotide long non-coding RNA. RefSeq lists it as uncharacterized. The transcript is spliced from 3 exons. The record is from RefSeq and is a predicted model, not a curated record. Lineage: Eukaryota; Metazoa; Chordata; Actinopteri; Cypriniformes; Xenocyprididae.